Molecule: non-coding RNA, 82 nt
Organism: Phyllosticta paracitricarpa
Lineage: Eukaryota; Fungi; Ascomycota; Dothideomycetes; Botryosphaeriales; Phyllostictaceae
Source: the annotation of a GenBank genome assembly
GGUGAGGUGGCCGAGUUGGUUAUGGCGCCAGGUUAAGGUCCUGGUGGAGCAAUCCGCGCGAGUUCAAGUCUCGUCCUCAUCA